AGAUUGAACGCUGGCGGCAGGCCUAACACAUGCAAGUCGAGCGGCAGCACGGGUACUUGUACCUGGUGGCGAGCGGCGGACGGGUGAGUAAUGCCUAGGAAUCUGCCUGGUAGUGGGGGAUAACGCUCGGAAACGGACGCUAAUACCGCAUACGUCCUACGGGAGAAAGCAGGGGACCUUCGGGCCUUGCGCUAUCAGAUGAGCCUAGGUCGGAUUAGCUAGUUGGUGAGGUAAUGGCUCACCAAGGCGACGAUCCGUAACUGGUCUGAGAGGAUGAUCAGUCACACUGGAACUGAGACACGGUCCAGACUCCUACGGGAGGCAGCAGUGGGAAUAUUGGACAAUGGGCGAAAGCCUGAUCCAGCCAUGCCGCGUGUGUGAAGAAGGUCUUCGGAUUGUAAAGCACUUUAAGUUGGAGGAAGGGCAGUUACCUAAUACGUAUCUGUUUUGACGUUACGACAAGAAUAAGCACCGGACUAACUCUGUAG
This 488-nucleotide ribosomal RNA is filed under the name uncultured soil bacterium. Its description in RNAcentral is "bacterial SSU rRNA". It matches the Rfam family "Bacterial small subunit ribosomal RNA", at positions 26 to 508 of the family's 1533-position model. The record is from RNAcentral.